UGGAUCCAGACUUUGAUUCUGGCUCAGGAUGAACGCUAGCUACAGGCUUAACACAUGCAAGUCGAGGGGAAACGACAUCGAAAGCUUGCUUUUGAUGGGCGUCGACCGGCGCACGGGUGAGUAACGCGUAUCCAACCUGCCCACCACUUGGGGAUAACCUUGCGAAAGUAAGACUAAUACCCAAUGACGUCUCUAGAAGACAUCUGAAAGAGAUUAAAGAUUUAUCGGUGAUGGAUGGGGAUGCGUCUGAUUAGCUUGUUGGCGGGGUAACGGCCCACCAAGGCUACGAUCAGUAGGGGUUCUGAGAGGAAGGUCCCCCACAUUGGAACUGAGACACGGACCAAACUCCUACGGGAGGCAGCAGUGAGGAAUAUUGGUCAAUGGACAAGAGUCUGAACCAGCCAAGUAGCGUGCAGGAUGACGGCCCUAUGGGUUGUAAACUGCUUUUAUAAGGGAAUAAAGUGAGUCUCGUGAGACUUUUUGCAUGUACCUUAUGAAUAAGGACCGGCUAAUUCCGUGCCAGCAGCCGCGGUAAUACGGAAGGUCCGGGCGUCAUCCGGAUUUAUUGGGUUUAAAGGGAGCGUAGGCCGGAGAUUAAGCGUGUUGUGAAAUGUAGAUGCUCAACAUCUGCACUGCAGCGCGAACUGGUUUCCUUGAGUACGCACAAAGUGGGCGGAAUUCGUGGUGUAGCGGUGAAAUGCUUAGAUAUCACGAAGAACUCCGAUUGCGAAGGCAGCUCACUGGAGCGCAACUGACGCUGAAGCUCGAAAGUGCGGGUAUCGAACAGGAUUAGAUACCCUGGUAGUCCGCACGGUAAACGAUGGAUGCCCGCUGUUGGUCUGAAUAGGUCAGCGGCCAAGCGAAAGCAUUAAGCAUCCCACCUGGGGGGUACGCCGGCAACGGUGCAACUCAAAUGAAUUGACGGA
Molecule: ribosomal RNA, 926 nt
Filed under: uncultured organism
Description: bacterial SSU rRNA
Rfam family: Bacterial small subunit ribosomal RNA
Source: RNAcentral